Long non-coding RNA from Solanum lycopersicum (tomato), 540 nucleotides. RefSeq lists it as uncharacterized. The record is from RefSeq and is a predicted model, not a curated record. NCBI's taxonomy places the organism in Eukaryota, Viridiplantae, Streptophyta, Magnoliopsida, Solanales, Solanaceae.
CUUCCAUCUUCUCUUCUGUGUUUUUUCUUCCCUUUCUCAUCUCUUUUAUAAAUUCAUUAACUUCUUCUUAAAAGUAUUCAUCUAUUACAACAAGAUCUUCAUUAAAUUUUUCUAAUUUAAGGAUAUCAUCAAUAUCAACUACAACACCAUCUUUAUCAAUCAGCUGCAAGAUCAGUGGAUGAGCAUUCUUACAAAUAAAUUAUUUUACACAAAUAGUAUAUAAAUUUGCAUACCUUCUAUUUUCUUGUUCUUUUGAUCUCUCCUCAAUUUCUCAUCGUAUAAAAACAACACUUUCCAUCACUGCAAGUUCAAGGGAUGCAACACACUCACACAAGUUAUCUUCUUUAUUUUUCUGUCCACCCGAAAUAGAAUUCUCAGAAUGUUGGUUGAAAUUGUUCUCACCCAAUAUUUCAUCCUCCUCUGCUGCACAAGGACAGUAGGUAUGAGGUAUGGAUGCACAAUCUAAAAAAGAUAUGAAUAGUGUAAGGCCUUCACUAUUUACAAAUAUUGCUAGAUAAUAAAUAAAUUUAUACUUUUGUA